UCAGAGCAGCCUCAGCCAGGACACGGCCUCCAAACAAACAGUAAUUCCCCCACCACGCGUGAGUCACUAGACACGGGUCAGGUUUCCAGUACAAUCCAGACUCGACGCCCCCCACUCAAGGAGGCCCACAGAGGUCAGCACAGGAAGGGAGUUUGAAAGGGGUUGGGUGGGAUGUCAAAGGGAGGCCCCAAUCUGAGCAACAGGCCAAGCCCAGAGCCAAGAAAU
Molecule: non-coding RNA, 225 nt
Organism: Vicugna pacos (alpaca)
Lineage: Eukaryota; Metazoa; Chordata; Mammalia; Artiodactyla; Camelidae
Source: RefSeq, a predicted model, not a curated record